GCGACCCUCCAAUUGCACCAGCACCUGAGGGCACAGACGGCUCUGCAGCUCAGAAUCAGGGUUGUUGAAAAGCCUCCUUCUCCGCUUGGUGGUCCAAGGUCUUUGCAAUCCAGCAGCUCAGAGUCAGGGAGCACCAGUGACUCUGAGAGCUCCUCAGACUCUGAGACCAGUGACUCUGAGAGCUCCUCAUCCCCGGAGACAAGUGACUCAGAGAGCUCCUCGGGCUCAGAGACCCACCACACUGGGGGUGUCAAAAGGCCUGGCAAGCCCCUGGUGGACAACGGGGCCAAGAGAUGCCGGAAGGAGGACAGCAACCCUGAUCCAUUGGAGAUCAGAGCCCAGUCUUCCAGGGACAAACAGAGGGUCAAAAAAAGAGCAAAAUCUACUUACAGAAAAGACCUGAAGCCGGCCCUCCAAGAGCCCCUUGAGAACAGAAAGGGCUCCCAGCAGGCCGAAGUGAAACAGCCCUUUGCCCUCGGGGUGAAGAAGUUGCUCUCGCCAGUGAGAGACCCCGCAGCUCCUGAGCCUGUCCGGGUGAAAGAGGAGCACCAGAGAAGAGCAGAGACCAAGGACCUCCCUGGUGCAAGGAAGCGGGACUUGAAGAGGAGAGCCAUGGACAGUCCUGAUGAGCCCAGUGGGAAGAAAAAGAGGGGAGAGAUAUGAAGAUUAAAGCUAGUCUUCAGUAAGCAAAGACUGCAAUAAAGUGAAGUGAGUAUACA
Molecule: long non-coding RNA, 719 nt
Filed under: Manacus vitellinus (golden-collared manakin)
Lineage: Eukaryota; Metazoa; Chordata; Aves; Passeriformes; Pipridae
Description: lncRNA (ENSMVIG00005011495.1)
Source: RNAcentral